AUAUCUCUCUGUACGGGAAGGAUGAGAAGCUUCGACUAAGGUUCGAUUCGAGCGCAGCGAGAAAGCGUUGCCGCAGGCAACGACCCGAAGGGCGAAGCGCGCAGCGCUGAGUCAUCCUUCCCCCACCA
This 128-nucleotide small RNA is filed under the name Salmonella enterica. Its description in RNAcentral is "RtT sRNA". It matches the Rfam family "RtT RNA". From Rfam's summary of the family: This family represents a bacterial cis-regulatory element known as RtT RNA. The exact function of RtT is unknown although it is thought that it may be involved in changing the cellular response in relation to amino acid starvation. Lineage: Bacteria; Pseudomonadati; Pseudomonadota; Gammaproteobacteria; Enterobacterales; Enterobacteriaceae. RNAcentral also lists the same sequence under 1 other name. The record is from RNAcentral.